Long non-coding RNA from Amblyraja radiata (thorny skate), 205 nucleotides. RefSeq lists it as uncharacterized. The transcript has 3 exons. The record is from RefSeq and is a predicted model, not a curated record. Lineage: Eukaryota; Metazoa; Chordata; Chondrichthyes; Rajiformes; Rajidae.
ACAAUUCCACCGAUCAGAACAAAACAUGGUGCGCUUUGAGCAGAGGAGAACUGUGAGUAAGGUGGCGAUCCUAGCGAUAAAGGGUACCAUUUUUGAGCACAUUUAAAAAAAAGCAAACCGGAAGUGGUCAAGAUGAGAGUUUUCGUAAUAGUAUAGGGUGAUAUACUAGAAAGUCAUAUACUUCAUUUUGACCACUUCCGGUUUG